CCGCUUGCCACCGCCCUUCAAGCGGUUCUGGGCCAUGGGACGGAUAGACCGUUGCUCCAGACCCGCAGCCAGGCUCCCAAGAGCACCUGCUACACACCGGGUUCUCAAAUCCAGACAGAAAACCCCUCCCCUCCUGGAGCAGGCAUGAAUGACCCAGAUGGAGAACUAGAGGUCCAGAGAGGCUGACUGUGUGCAUAGAGGUGACCAAUCCUGGGGACUGAGCUGACCUGUGACCCCAGUGAGCAAGCAGA
Molecule: long non-coding RNA, 251 nt
Organism: Phodopus roborovskii (desert hamster)
Lineage: Eukaryota; Metazoa; Chordata; Mammalia; Rodentia; Cricetidae
Exons: 3
Source: RefSeq, a predicted model, not a curated record